GUGGGGAAUCUUGCGCAAUGGGCGAAAGCCUGACGCAGCCAUGCCGCGUGAAUGAUGAAGGUCUUAGGAUUGUAAAAUUCUUUCACCGGGGACGAUAAUGACGGUACCCGGAGAAGAAGCUCCGGCUAACUUCGUGCCAGCAGCCGCGGUAAUACGAAGGGGGCUAGCGUUGCUCGGAAUUACUGGGCGUAAAGGGCGCGUAGGCGGACAGCUUAGUCAGAGGUGAAAGCCCAGGGCUCAACCUUGGAAUUGCCUUUGAUACUGGCUGUCUUGAGUUUGGGAGAGGUGAGUGGAACUCCGAGUGUAGAGGUGAAAUUCGUAGAUAUUCGGAGGAACACCAGUGGCGAAGGCGGCUCACUGGCUCGGUACUGACGCUGAGGUGCGAAAGCGUGGGGAGCAAACAGGAUUAGAAACCCGGGUAGUCC
Molecule: ribosomal RNA, 425 nt
Filed under: uncultured bacterium
Lineage: Bacteria
Description: partial 16S ribosomal RNA
Rfam family: Bacterial small subunit ribosomal RNA
Source: RNAcentral